This 200-nucleotide ribosomal RNA is filed under the name uncultured Pseudomonas sp. RNAcentral's name for it is "partial 16S ribosomal RNA". It matches the Rfam family "Bacterial small subunit ribosomal RNA", at positions 1184 to 1382 of the family's 1533-position model. Lineage: Bacteria; Pseudomonadati; Pseudomonadota; Gammaproteobacteria; Pseudomonadales; Pseudomonadaceae. The record is from RNAcentral.
UCGAAGUCAUCAUGGCCCUUAUGUCCCAGGGCGACACACGUGCUACAAUGGUCGGUACAAAGGGUUGCCAAGCCGCGAGGUGGAGCUAAUCCCAUAAAACCGAUCGUAGUCCGGAUCGCAGUCUGCAACUCGACUGCGUGAAGUCGGAAUCGCUAGUAAUCGUGAAUCAGAAUGUCACGGUGAAUACGUUCCCGGGCCUU